RNAcentral lists this ribosomal RNA (811 nucleotides) under uncultured bacterium. RNAcentral describes it as "bacterial SSU rRNA". It matches the Rfam family "Bacterial small subunit ribosomal RNA", at positions 56 to 865 of the family's 1533-position model. The record is from RNAcentral.
UGCAAGUCGAACGGCAGCGCGGGGCAACCUGGCGGCGAGUGGCGAACGGGUGAGUAAUAUAUCGGAACAUACCCUAGAGUGGGGGAUAACGUAGCGAAAGUUACGCUAAUACCGCAUACGCACUAAGGUGGAAAGUGGGGGAUCGCAAGACCUCAUGCUCAUGGAGUGGCCGAUAUCUGAUUAGCUAGUUGGUGAGGUAAAGGCUCACCAAGGCGACGAUCAGUAGCUGGUCUGAGAGGACGACCAGCCACACUGGAACUGAGACACGGUCCAGACUCCUACGGGAGGCAGCAGUGGGGAAUUUUGGACAAUGGGGGCAACCCUGAUCCAGCAAUGCCGCGUGAGUGAAGAAGGCCUUCGGGUUGUAAAGCUCUUUUGUCAGGGAAGAAACGGUGGUCUCUAAUAUAGACUGCUAAUGACGGUACCUGAAGAAUAAGCACCGGCUAACUACGUGCCAGCAGCCGCGGUAAUACGUAGGGUGCAAGCGUUAAUCGGAAUUACUGGGCGUAAAGCGUGCGCAGGCGGUUAUAUAAGUCAGAUGUGAAAUCCCCGGGCUCAACCUGGGAACUGCAUUUGAGACUGUAUGGCUAGAGUGUGUCAGAGGGGGGUAGAAUUCCACGUGUAGCAGUGAAAUGCGUAGAUAUGUGGAGGAAUACCGAUGGCGAAGGCAGCCCCCUGGGAUAACACUGACGCUCAUGCACGAAAGCGUGGGGAGCAAACAGGAUUAGAUACCCUGGUAGUCCACGCCCUAAACGAUGUCUACUAGUUGUCGGGUCUUAAUUGACUUGGUAACGCAGCUAACGCGUGAAGU